RNAcentral lists this transfer RNA (60 nucleotides) under Pseudoniphargus triasi. Its description in RNAcentral is "tRNA-Asp". The record is from RNAcentral. Lineage: Eukaryota; Metazoa; Arthropoda; Malacostraca; Amphipoda; Allocrangonyctidae.
AGAAAAUUAGUUAAAUUAUAACAUUAAUUUGUCAAAUUAAAAUUACUUUAGUAUUUUCUA